RNAcentral lists this ribosomal RNA (465 nucleotides) under Triticum aestivum (bread wheat). Its description in RNAcentral is "partial small subunit ribosomal RNA". Lineage: Eukaryota; Viridiplantae; Streptophyta; Magnoliopsida; Poales; Poaceae. The record is from RNAcentral.
AUGCCUCGCUGGCACCUCUCCCUCACCCGCAUCACCGGCGCCUCUCCCUCUCGGGCCGUUGUUGCCUCUCCGUUGGCCCAGUCGUUGUCGCCCCUGAUGUGCCGUGGCACCGUGACCCGGCCUCACAGGCACGACCAGGGUGACAACAGCUCCCCGACGCCGCCGCCCUCCGCAAGGAGCAACGACAACUCGAAGCUCUGCGGCACGGCAUGCUCUGAGCGAUGCGCCGCGGGGGCACCGCCGCCUCAGCCACCGGCGUGGCCGACCACCCGUCCACGUCCCCAUCGCUGCCGCCGGCCGGCCACACGACCUCACGCUCGUCCAGCUCGAAGCACGCGCCAUCGUGGCCCGCCUCCGGCUGCUUCAGCAGGCCAAGAAACCGAAACGCCCCCCGCGCCCGGCGACCUCGGCAUCUCCAUCGACCGUCUCAGCAAGCGCUACCUCGCCCGGCUCCCGCAUUGCUGA